UUUGUGCAGUGAUCAAUCAUGUGGGUGGAUAUACUCAUUGCAUUGAAAGAUAUUGUACAAAAGAUUGGUUAGAGGCUGAAUGCGAAGCUGAGUGUAGAACAAGAACAUACAGCACAGGCUCAUGUCUUGGUCCUUUUCCAAAACUUCAAUGUUGUUGCAAAAAGUGAAAAAAAAAACUUUAGAAAGUGGUCAUCUUUUAUACAACUGGUGAUUUAAGGGUUGGUUUAUAUUUUUCUAUAGUAUAAAAAGAUAAUUUAUUAUCUUGUUUUAUCUUCAAUAAAAUAAUCUAAUUAUAUUAUUAUUUUUUGUGUGUG
RNAcentral lists this long non-coding RNA (314 nucleotides) under Brassica napus (rape). Its description in RNAcentral is "long non-coding RNA (BNAP_LNC006560)". The record is from RNAcentral. Lineage: Eukaryota; Viridiplantae; Streptophyta; Magnoliopsida; Brassicales; Brassicaceae.